GGUUAAGCGACUAAGCGUACACGGUGGAUGCCCUGGCAGUCAGAGGCGAUGAAGGGCGUGCUAAUCUGCGAUAAGCGCCGGUAAGGUGAUAUGAACCGUUAUAACCGGCGAUACCCGAAUGGGGAAACCCAGUGUGACUCGUCACACUAUCAUUAACUGAAUCCAUAGGUUAAUGAGGCGAACCGGGGGAACUGAAACAUCUAAGUACCCCGAGGAAAAGAAAUCAACCGAGAUUCCCCCAGUAGCGGCGAGCGAACGGGGAGGAGCCCAGAGCCUGAAUCAGCAUGUGUGUUAGUGGAAGCGUCUGGAAAGGCGCGCGAUACAGGGUGACAGCCCCGUACACAAAAGCGCAUGUGCUGUGAGCUCGAUGAGUAGGGCGGGACACGUGGUAUCCUGUCUGAAUAUGGGGGGACCAUCCUCCAAGGCUAAAUACUCCUGACUGACCGAUAGUGAACCAGUACCGUGAGGGAAAGGCGAAAAGAACCCCGGCGAGGGGAGUGAAAAAGAACCUGAAACCGUGUACGUACAAGCAGUGGGAGCCCCACCACCAAAGCAUUCUCUGGUGUUGAAGGCCCUGCAAAGCAGCAUCGCGGUGGCGGAGCGUCGUUUGCGACGCCCAACACACAAAACAAGCGGUGAAUGCUUUG
This 647-nucleotide ribosomal RNA is filed under the name Salmonella enterica. RNAcentral describes it as "partial 23S ribosomal RNA". It matches the Rfam family "Bacterial large subunit ribosomal RNA", at positions 1 to 604 of the family's 2925-position model. RNAcentral also lists the same sequence under 2 other names. Lineage: Bacteria; Pseudomonadati; Pseudomonadota; Gammaproteobacteria; Enterobacterales; Enterobacteriaceae. The record is from RNAcentral.